UAAGGAAUAUUGGUCAAUGGACGCAAGUCUGAACCAGCCAUGCCGCGUGCAGGAUGAAGGCCCUCUGGGUUGUAAACUGCUUUUGUCUGGAAAGAAAUCCCCUUUUUUAAGGGUGUUGACGGUACCAGAAGAAUAAGCACCGGCUAACUCCGUGCCAGCAGCCGCGGUAAUACGGAGGGUGCAAGCGUUAUCCGGAUUUACUGGGUUUAAAGGGUGCGUAGGUGGAUAAGUAAGUCAGUGGUGAAAGCUCCGAGCUUAACUCGGAAACUGCCAUUGAUACUGCUCAUCUUGAAUAUUGUGGAGGUUGGCGGAAUGUGUCAUGUAGUGGUGAAAUACUUAGAUAUGACACAGAACACCGAUUGCGAAGGCAGCUGGCUACACAAUUAUUGACACUGAGGCACGAAAGCGUGGGGAUCAAACA
This 421-nucleotide ribosomal RNA is filed under the name uncultured bacterium. RNAcentral's name for it is "bacterial SSU rRNA". It matches the Rfam family "Bacterial small subunit ribosomal RNA", at positions 355 to 774 of the family's 1533-position model. The record is from RNAcentral.